GCUUAUAUAGUUUAAGAAGAAAAAUUUAAGAAUGUGGAGCUUUAGAUAAAAAAUUUUUGUAAGCA
Molecule: transfer RNA, 65 nt
Filed under: Bilobella aurantiaca
Lineage: Eukaryota; Metazoa; Arthropoda; Collembola; Poduromorpha; Neanuridae
Description: tRNA-His
Source: RNAcentral